GAUCAUGGCUCAGAACGAACGCUGGCGGCGCGUUUAAGCAUGCAAGUCGAGCGGCAAGGGCCUUCGGGCCCCUAGAGCGGCGGACGGGUGAGUAACACGUGGACAAUCUGCCCCCCGGCCCGGGAUAGCCCAGGGAAACCUGGAUUAAUACCGGAUGAGACGGGACCCGCGAUGGCGGGAUCCGGGAAAGGCGCUGCGGCGCCGCCGGGGGAUGAGUCUGCGUCCCAUUAGCUAGACGGCGGGGUAACGGCCCACCGUGGCGACGAUGGGUAGCCGGCCUGAGAGGGCGGACGGCCACAUUGGAACUGAGACACGGUCCAGACUCCUACGGGAGGCAGCAGCUAAGAAUCUUCCGCAAUGGGCGAAAGCCUGACGGAGCCGACGCCGCGUGAACGAAGAAGGCCGUGAGGUUGUAAAGUUCUUUUCGGGAGGGGGAACAACCGUGGCAGGGAAUGGCCGCGGGAUGACGUGAAUCCCGGAAUAAGCCCCGGCUAACUACGUGCCAGCAGCGGC
Molecule: ribosomal RNA, 513 nt
Filed under: uncultured bacterium
Lineage: Bacteria
Description: bacterial SSU rRNA
Rfam family: Bacterial small subunit ribosomal RNA
Source: RNAcentral